CUGGGCCUGGUGCAGGAGGCGCUGCCGUUACUGCGGGCGAGCGCUGCGGGCACGGUGAUCGCCGUCAGUUCGGACGCGGCGGCGGAGGC
Molecule: transfer RNA, 89 nt
Filed under: Streptomyces sp. S4.7
Lineage: Bacteria; Bacillati; Actinomycetota; Actinomycetes; Kitasatosporales; Streptomycetaceae
Description: tRNA-Ser
Source: RNAcentral